AUGGGCGAAAGCCUGAUGCAGCGACGCCACGUGAGGGAUGACGGCCUUCGGGUUGUAAACCUCUUUCAGCAGGGAAGAAGCGCAAGUGACGGUACCUGCAGAAGAAGCGCCGGCUAACUACGUGCCAGCAGCCGCGGUAAUACGUAGGGCGCAAGCGUUGUCCGGAAUUAUUGGGCGUAAAGAGCUCGUAGGCGGUCUGUCGCGUCUGGUGUGAAAUCUCAUGGCUCAACUGUGAGCUUGCAUCGGGUACGGGCAGACUAGAGUGCUGUAGGGGAGACUGGAAUUCCUGGUGUAGCGGUGGAAUGCGCAGAUAUCAGGAGGAACACCGAUGGCGAAGGCAGGUCUCUGGGCAGUUACUGACGCUGAGGAGCGAAAGCAUGGGGAGCGAACAGGAUUAGAUACCCUGGUAGUCCAUGCCGUAAACGUUGGGCACUAGGUGUGGGGCCAGUUCCACUGGUUCUGUGCCGUAGCUAACGCAUUAAGUGCCCCGCCUGGGGAGUACGGCCGCAAGGCUAAAACUCAAAGGAAUUGACGGGGGCCCGCACAAGCGGCGGAGCAUGCGGAUUAAUUCGAUGCAACGCGAAGAACCUUACCAAGGCUUGACAUGUACGAGAAAGCCCCAGAGAUGGGGUUCUCUUUGGACACUCGUACACAGGUGGUGCAUGGUUGUCGUCAGCUCGUGUCGUGAGAUGUUGGGUUAAGUCCCGCAACGAGCGCAACCCUUGUCUCAUGUUGCCAGCGGGUUAUGCCGGGGACUCAUGGGAGACUGCCGGGGUCAACUCGGAGGAAGGUGGGGAUGACGUCAAAUCAUCAUGCCCCUUAUGUCUUGGGCUUCACGCAUGCUACAAUGGCCGGUACAGAGGGCUGCGAUACCGUGAGGUGGAGCGAAUCCCAAAAAGCCGGUCUCAGUUCGGAUCGGGGUCUGCAACUCGACCCCGUGAAGUCGGAGUCGCUAGUAAUCGCAGAUCAGCAACGCUGCGGUGAAUACGUUCCCGGGCCUUGUACACACCGCCCGUCAAGUCACGAAAGUUGGUAACACCCGAAGCUC
This 1048-nucleotide ribosomal RNA is filed under the name Promicromonospora sp. ORG17-24. Its description in RNAcentral is "bacterial SSU rRNA". It matches the Rfam family "Bacterial small subunit ribosomal RNA", at positions 371 to 1429 of the family's 1533-position model. The record is from RNAcentral. Lineage: Bacteria; Bacillati; Actinomycetota; Actinomycetes; Micrococcales; Promicromonosporaceae.